Molecule: non-coding RNA, 119 nt
Filed under: Geosporobacter ferrireducens
Lineage: Bacteria; Bacillati; Bacillota; Clostridia; Peptostreptococcales; Thermotaleaceae
Description: MoCo sequence
Rfam family: Molybdenum/Tungsten riboswitch aptamer (Moco RNA motif)
Source: Rfam by way of RNAcentral
CGAUUAAAAAAUUUCCGAGUUAUAUUUUCUAAAGUGAAAGCCAUGAAAAUAUAACCAAUGGGUAUCAGGAGAAAUUCUUAUGCCUCCCGUGAUUGGAAAGGAAAAGGAUUCGACAACAA